RNAcentral lists this ribosomal RNA (466 nucleotides) under uncultured bacterium. RNAcentral's name for it is "partial 16S ribosomal RNA". It matches the Rfam family "Bacterial small subunit ribosomal RNA", at positions 339 to 795 of the family's 1533-position model. The record is from RNAcentral.
CUACGGGAGGCUGCAGUGGGGAAUAUUGCACAAUGGGCGCAAGCCUGAUGCAGCCAUGCCGCGUGUAUGAAGAAGGCCUUCGGGUUGUAAAGUACUUUCAGCGGGGAGGAAGGGAGUAAGGUUAAUACCUUUGCUCAUUGACGUUACCCGCAAAAGAAGCACCGGCUAACUCCGUGCGCAGCAGCCGCGGUAAUAGCGGAGGGUGCAAGCGUUAAUCGGAAUUACUGGGCGUAAAGCGCACGCAGGCGGUUUGUUAAGUCAGAUGUGAAAUCCCCGGGCUCAACCUGGGAACUGCAUCUGAUACUGGCAAGCUUGAGUCUCGUAGAGGGGGGUAGAAUUCCAGGUGUAGCGGUGAAAUGCGUAGAGAUCUGGAGGAAUACCGGUGGCGAAGGCGGCCCCCUGGACGAAGACUGACGCUCAGGUGCGAAAGCGUGGGGAGCAAACAGGAUUAGAUACCCUAGUAGUC